This is a long non-coding RNA of Equus quagga, 3313 nucleotides long. RefSeq lists it as uncharacterized. The transcript is spliced from 2 exons. NCBI's taxonomy places the organism in Eukaryota, Metazoa, Chordata, Mammalia, Perissodactyla, Equidae. The record is from RefSeq and is a predicted model, not a curated record.
UUUCUGAAAGCGGAAGAUGGGCGAGCCUGGCAGUAGAGACGCUUUCUGAAGGGGGUAGAACGGUUCGAGGUUUCGCGGACUGUUUACCUCCAGGGGUCGUUCGUGAGUCAGAGAAACCGGGCCUUUGGAGGGAGAGGGCCUGGCGACAGUCCUUCUGCGCUUGGCUGUGCAGCGUUCUGGCUGCUUCUGCCCGGCGCCACGAGGCCCGCCCCGUCCCUGCCCUCGCCCCCCUGCCCCGGCUCUGUCGGCCUGCGGGCGCUGCAGCCUCUCUCCCGCCGCCGGCGUGUCUGGAAAUGGAGGCCCAUAGCUAGAAGGUCCCGGGUACCCUUUGUUCCCAAACCUGCCUUGCCCGUCUUCCUCUGGGAAUUAGUGAGACCUUGGCCCUAAGGGCGUAACCCCCCCGGGGCUCCACGUGGGGGUCCCAUAGCUCUUCUGCUACUUCCAGCAGUGGCUGAGGGAGUCGAAGCUGUGGGUAGUGAGGACAGGUGUGGACAGUAGCAGGGAGGGGAAGGUCUGUGGUUCCUGACGUGCUGCCUCUGUUCCCAAGAAGAUAACUUUCCUAUGGCCCUUGCCCUCUGGCUAGUUAUGGCCCGUCCACCACGUGUCCUCAAAUGCCUGGACUCUGGAGAAAGGCAGCCUCCUUCCUCAGACCCCACGACGCUUGUCGGUCCCACUACCUGUUUUCACCUUUCCCCUCGGAGGCCACCUAGAGCACCUGGCUAGAAAUGGGAGCAACUGGUGGGAUUGGGAUUGAGAUAGGGAGUCUGCAGCAUUUGGAGGGAAGGAGUGGACUAAGAUGGAACUGCAGAACAUUUGAGGGACUGAAAGUUACUGGGGCAAAAUGGGAGGGUCAGGGAGCAGGGGUGAGGGAGCGAGGGAAUGAGACCCAUCAUCUCUGUAUGUCUCAAAAGGAAGAAACUUAGGUGUCUCUGAGCAGGCAGAUGAGGAACGCAUUUUUCAGAGCUCUGGUUCUCUGUGAGACACACAACCCAUAGUAAUUUAGUUUUGUUCCAAACGUGUUAAGUGAAGUGCACACCUAUUUGUUCCUAAGGAGCUACAGCUACUGGUAACUUCUACAAGACAGGUGCGUGAACUACAGACUUCCCAGCGUUGCCUGGCGCUCUCCCCUCCCUCCCCGCACCUACUACUAGUAAUUCGAUGUUGCCACAUUCCUCUGUGCUAGCUGUGGAGGUUCCUGAGACCCUUUUAGGGGAUCUGCAAGGGCAGAACUGUUUCACAAUAAUACUAAGAUUUGUUUACAUUUUUCAGUGUAUUGACAUUUAAACUUAAAGUGACAUGGAAAACUGCUAGCACCUUGGCGUGAAUCAAGGCAGUGGCAUCAAACUAUAUUUGCAGUUGUAUUUUUCACCAAAGCUUUUUAGGGGGGAGGGGGAGCCAGUUUCACUUAAGAAUGUUCUUCAUGAAGCUGUAAAAAGUAUUCAUUUUACUCCAUUUUGAACCUUGAGUAGAGGUCCUGUUGCUACCCUGUGUGACAGAAUGGGAAGUACGCAUGAAGCAGGCUUGCUGCAUACCAAGCCUUUGUGUCAUAUGGCACCUACCCACCCCUACUGCUGCGCGGGCUCCUGUGGGGAGACACUAGAGCCCUUCAUCUGCGGCACAGGCGGAGUGCGUGCAGACCCUGCGUGCUGGCCGCGGGGGACACUCACUGCUGAUGCUGGUCUCACCCUGUCUCUUCUCUGUGUGAGGAAAGUGGUGUUCUAUCCACUGCCUGUGUGAGUCGAGUCUUUCUUUGCAACCCUAACACCUGCAAACCAUGCAGUGGGUUGACAUCUUGGGACUGCUGGUCCUCUUGGCAGGUGGUAUACUACUUGCUGUCCUCUGUGAGAUGGAACUCCUGCCCUGGAGGUAGUAAUCGGUGUCAUGUGCUCAACAAAAAGCAGUUCUGUGCUUGUGUUGAUUUGCUGGCUGAACUAGAAUUUUUUUCCAGAAAAUGCCUCCUGUACUUGAAUGACUGACAGUGUGAUUCUUUGGACUUGGAUGUUUGGUAGACUUUUCUAGAAAACGAACAAAGUAAGCUUGUCACUUCAAGGGAAGCAAUUGACAUUAUUUGUUGCCAAUGAUAAAAUUUGGUCUUUCAAGCAAAAAUUAGAAUUUUGAAAAAUAUAUAUUUGCCAUAUAUCUUGACAGCUUCCCAGUACUUAAAAGAUUCUUCUGAUGAGCUUGGUGGUGAUAUUAGCAAAUGUGAUUUUUUUAUAUUGAAUAAUGAAAUGUGUCAACACUUGGAAGAUCUGCAUAAGCAGCCUAUUAGAUAUCUGUUGUUGCAUAACAAAUUACUCCUAAACAUAGUGAUUUAGAAUAACAAACACUUAUUAUCUCACAGUUUCUGUGUGUCAGGAAUUUGGGAGUGGCUUAUGCAGAUGGUUCUGACUUAGAGUUUCUCCUGCAGUGGCAGUCGAGACAUCUGUUGAGGCUGUGGCCAUCUGAAGGCUUGACUGGACCUGGAGAAUCUGCUUCCAAGAGGUGCACUCACGUGGCUGUUGGCAGGAGGCGUCACUGGACGGACCUCUCCACGGGGCUUUGAGGAUGCGCACAGCUUGGCAGCCAGCUUCUCCCAGAGCAAGUGAUCAGAGAGAGGGAGCAAGAUAGAAGCCUCAGUGUCUUUUAUGAUCUACCCUCAGAAGUCAUGCUCUGUAAUUUCCACCACAUUCUAUUCAUUAGAGUGAGUCAUAUGUACAGGCCACACUCAAAGAGAGGGAAAUUAAGCUCCACCUCUUAAAGGGAAGAGUACCGAAGAAUACGUGGACAUGUUUCAAUAACACUACACUUAGUGAACCAAUAUUUUCCAAAUGACUGUGUGAUGUUACAAUGCCAUGAUGCACAGAUAACAAAUCUAUUCUAAUUGCAAGAUAGCCCCAGGGAUUUUUAAUGUAACAGAGUAGGAAACAUUCAUUGAUGUAGUUUUAGAUCCCACAUUGCUUCUGACCUUUAAGAAGCUAUCAUUUGUUGAGUUCUGGUGUAGGAUCAGAGAAGAGUAUCCACAAUUAUCUGAAAAGGCUAUCAAAAUACUCCCCUUAUUUCCAACUACGUAUCCCUGUGAGGCCAAAUUUUUGUCAUAUACUGACAACAGCAUUAGAAUAGACCGGAAUGCAGAGGCAGAUAGGAGAAUCCAGCUCUCUUCUGUUAAGCCAGACAGAGAUUUGCAAAAAUGUACAACAGAGUGGCUCUUCUCACUAAUUAUUUUUGUUUUAGAAAAUGUGUUUUUCUUAAAAAGUGUGUGUGUGUGUGUGUACUAACAUGUAUUGGAUUUAUUAUUGUAAUUUGUAAAUGAAUUAAAUAUUUUUAAAUUUUCUCA